UACGGGGGGAGCAAGCGUUGUUCGGAUUUACUGGGCGUAAAGGGCGCGUAGGCGGUCAGUGCAAGUCAGUUGUGAAAUCUCCGGGCUUAACUCGGAACGGUCAACUGAUACUGCUCGACUAGAGUGCGGAAGGGGCAACUGGAAUUCUUGGUGUAGCGGUGAAAUGCGUAGAUAUCAAGAGGAACACCUGCGGCGAAGGCGGGUUGCUGGGCCGACACUGACGCUGAGGCGCGAAAGCUAGGGGAGCGAACGGG
This 254-nucleotide ribosomal RNA is filed under the name uncultured bacterium. Its description in RNAcentral is "partial 16S ribosomal RNA". It matches the Rfam family "Bacterial small subunit ribosomal RNA", at positions 524 to 776 of the family's 1533-position model. The record is from RNAcentral.